ACUGCUCAGUAACACGUGGACAACCUGCCCUUAGGACGGGGAUAAACCCGGGAAACUGGGUAUAAUACCCGAUAGGUCUCGAUUGCUGGAAUGCAUCGAGAUUUAAAGCUCCGGCGCCUAAGGAUGGGUCUGCGGCCUAUCAGGUAGUAGUGGGUGUAGCGUACCUACUAGCCUACGACGGGUACGGGUUGUGAGAGCAAGAGCUCGGAGAUGGAUUCUGAGACACGAAUCCAGGCCCUACGGGGUGCAGCAGGCGCGAAAACUUUACAAUGCUGGCAACAGCGAUAAGGGAACCUCGAGUGCCAGGUUACAAAUCUGGCUGUCGAGAUGCCUAAAAAGCAUUUCAUAGCAAGGGCCGGGCAAGACCGGUGCCAGCCGCCGCGGUAACACCGGCGGCUCGAGUGGUAACCGUUAUUAUUGGGUCUAAAGGGUCUGUAGCCGGCCGGAUAAGUCUCUUGAGAAAUCUGGCAGCUUAACUGUCAGGCUUUCAGGAGAUACUGUCUGGCUCGAGGCCGGGAGAGGUGAGAGGUACUUCAGGGGUAGGGGUGAAAUCUUGUAAUCCUUGAAGGACCACCAGUGGCGAAGGCGUCUCACCAGAACGGACCUGACGGCAAGGGACGAAAGCUAGGGGCACGAACCGGAUUAGAUACCCGGGUAGUCCUAGCCGUAAACGAUACUCGCUAGGUGUCGGCCACGGUGCGACCGUUGUCGGUGCCGUAGGGAAGCCGUGAAGCGAGCCACCUGGGAAGUACGGCCGCAAGGCUGAAACUUAAAGGAAUUGGCGGGGGAGCAC
This 793-nucleotide ribosomal RNA is filed under the name uncultured archaeon. RNAcentral describes it as "bacterial SSU rRNA". It matches the Rfam family "Archaeal small subunit ribosomal RNA", at positions 85 to 879 of the family's 1478-position model. The record is from RNAcentral.